UGGACACGCUCUUACCAAUGUUCCUCUGCCUGUUUCAGACGAUGGAGAGGGACUCCCCGCCCCCACACAACGAUUGGGGCUGAAGUGGAUCCGUGGAGCGACUGAAUCUUGAAAAUGGGCGGCUGUGAAACAUCCCGGCCCUGGGCACCCAGGACAGAGGGGUGAAGCUGAGAAGCCUGGAAGACCAUGUUGGAGCCCCAGGAAGUUGGGGGCAGGAACUCUUGAGACAAGAUUGGCUGGUUUUGCUUCUCCUGACUUACAUCUGUGAUUCCUAUACAGAAUCCAAGGGUGAUUUGAGAUGAGCCUUCGAGGAAAAUGGAUCUUUCUCUCCACCAGCAUCAUCAGUAAAAGAGAAUUUGGAGCUUGAAGACUUAAAAAAAUUGCAGCGUCUUUGAUCUGCAUUACAAAGGACUCUGAAGUCAUGCCCAGGCUAUGCUAAAAACAGGAUCAAUAAUAAAACUAGAAGGGAUGUGUAA
Non-coding RNA from Pelodiscus sinensis (Chinese soft-shelled turtle), 476 nucleotides. NCBI's taxonomy places the organism in Eukaryota, Metazoa, Chordata, Testudines, Trionychidae. The record is from RefSeq and is a predicted model, not a curated record.